GACGAACGCUGGCGGCGUGCCUAAUACAUGCAAGUAGAACGCUGAAGAGAGGAGCUUGCUCUUCUUGGAUGAGUUGCGAACGGGUGAGUAACGCGUAGGUAACCUGCCUUGUAGCGGGGGAUAACUAUUGGAAACGAUAGCUAAUACCGCAUAACAAUGGAUGACACAUGUCAUUUAUUUGAAAGGGGCAAUUGCUCCACUACAAGAUGGACCUGCGUUGUAUUAGCUAGUAGGUGAGGUAACGGCUCACCUAGGCGACGAUACAUAGCCGACCUGAGAGGGUGAUCGGCCACACUGGGACUGAGACACGGCCCAGACUCCUACGGGAGGCAGCAGUAGGGAAUCUUCCGCAAUGGGCGAAAGCCUGACGGAGCAACGCCGCGUGAGUGAUGAAGGUCUUCGGAUCGUAAAACUCUGUUAUUAGGGAAGAACAUAUGUGUAAGUAACUGUGCACAUCUUGACGGUACCUAAUCAGAAAGCCACGGCUAACUACGUGCCAGCAGCCGCGGUAAUACGUAGGUGGCAAGCGUUAUCCGGAAUUAUUGGGCGUAAAGCGCGCGUAGGCGGUUUUUUAAGUUUGAUGUGAAAGCCCACGGCUCAACCGUGGAGGGCUUUGGAAAAGGAAAAACUUGAGUGCAAAAGAGAAAAUGGAAUUCCUUUUGUU
This 664-nucleotide ribosomal RNA is filed under the name uncultured Staphylococcus sp. Its description in RNAcentral is "bacterial SSU rRNA". It matches the Rfam family "Bacterial small subunit ribosomal RNA", at positions 28 to 677 of the family's 1533-position model. Lineage: Bacteria; Bacillati; Bacillota; Bacilli; Caryophanales; Staphylococcaceae. The record is from RNAcentral.